This 609-nucleotide unclassified non-coding RNA is filed under the name Penicillium hirsutum. RNAcentral's name for it is "partial contains 18S rRNA, ITS1, 5.8S rRNA, ITS2 and 28S RNA". The stretch from base 231 to 383 matches the Rfam family "5.8S ribosomal RNA". Lineage: Eukaryota; Fungi; Ascomycota; Eurotiomycetes; Eurotiales; Aspergillaceae. The record is from RNAcentral.
GGAAGUAAAAGUCGUAACAAGGUUUCCGUAGGUGAACCUGCGGAAGGAUCAUUACCGAGUGAGGGCCCUCUGGGUCCAACCUCCCACCCGUGUUUAUUUUACCUUGUUGCUUCGGCGGGCCCGCCUUUACUGGCCGCCGGGGGGCUCACACCCCCGGGCCCGCGCCCGCCGAAGACACCCUCGAACUCUGUCUGAAGAUUGAAGUCUGAGUGAAAAUAUAAAUUAUUUAAAACUUUCAACAACGGAUCUCUUGGUUCCGGCAUCGAUGAAGAACGCAGCGAAAUGCGAUACGUAAUGUGAAUUGCAAAUUCAGUGAAUCAUCGAGUCUUUGAACGCACAUUGCGCCCCCUGGUAUUCCGGGGGGCAUGCCUGUCCGAGCGUCAUUGCUGCCCUCAAGCCCGGCUUGUGUGUUGGGCCCCGUCCUCCGAUUCCGGGGGACGGGCCCGAAAGGCAGCGGCGGCACCGCGUCCGGUCCUCGAGCGUAUGGGGCUUUGUCACCCGCUCUGUAGGCCCGGCCGGCGCUUGCCGAUCAACCCAAAUUUUUAUCCAGGUUGACCUCGGAUCAGGUAGGGAUACCCGCUGAACUUAAGCAUAUCAAUAAGCGGAGGA